This 559-nucleotide long non-coding RNA is filed under the name Equus asinus (donkey). RNAcentral's name for it is "lncRNA (ENSEASG00005035026.1)". The record is from RNAcentral. Lineage: Eukaryota; Metazoa; Chordata; Mammalia; Perissodactyla; Equidae.
UGGAAGCUUCUGAUGUGCCUAGAGACAAUGAUACACCCAGGAAGGGACUGAAAAUGAGGCCAGGCCAAAGUACAAGGGGCCUUGAAGCUUAUUAGACGGGCAUGGAUUUUAUCCACAAAGCAAUGGGAUGCCACUGGAGAAUUUAAAUUAGCCGGUGGCAUAAUGAGCUCUCUAUUCCCAAAAGCUCACUCUGGUUGCAACGUGGAUAGGAAUGUAUGCGGACUGGAACCUGAUUAAGCGACGUAGCAACAAGGCAGAGUCGGUGAUGCCUGGACAAGGGCAGUGGUCUAUUGUCAGGCUCAUUUUUAUCAAUCUGGUAGGAGUGAAGUGAUAUCUAGUAAGCAAAUGGGGAUCUCAGUCCUGUACCCACAAGGAAACAAAUUCUGCCACAACCAUGUCAGCUUGAAAGAGGACCAUGAGCUCCAGAAUGAAACGCAGCCUGCCUAACACCAUGACUGUACCUUGUGAGACUCUGAGCAGAGGACCCAGGAAAGCCAUGCCUGCAUCCUGACCCCCCAGAAAUGGAGAUAAUAAAUGUAUAUUGUUUUAAGCCACUAAA